This 359-nucleotide ribosomal RNA is filed under the name uncultured soil bacterium. RNAcentral describes it as "bacterial SSU rRNA". It matches the Rfam family "Bacterial small subunit ribosomal RNA", at positions 26 to 413 of the family's 1533-position model. The record is from RNAcentral.
AGAACGAACGCUGGCGGCAUGCCUAACACAUGCAAGUCGAACGAGACCUUCGGGUCUAGUGGCGCACGGGUGCGUAACGCGUGGGAAUCUGCCCUUGGGUUCGGGAUAACAGUUGGAAACGACUGCUAAUACCGGAUGAUGACUUCGGUCCAAAGAUUUAUUGCCCAGGGAUGAGCCCGCGUAGGAUUAGCUAGUUGGUGAGGUAAUGGCUCACCAAGGCGACGAUCCGUAGCUGGUCUGAGAGGAUGAUCAGCCACACUGGAACUGAGACACGGUCCAGACUCCUACGGGAGGCAGCAGUGGGGAAUAUUGGACAAUGGGCGCAAGCCUGAUCCAGCCAUACCGCGUGGGCGAAGGAA